Molecule: transfer RNA, 85 nt
Filed under: Prevotella sp.
Lineage: Bacteria; Pseudomonadati; Bacteroidota; Bacteroidia; Bacteroidales; Prevotellaceae
Also listed under: 2 other names
Description: tRNA-Leu
Rfam family: tRNA
About the family: Transfer RNA (tRNA) molecules are approximately 80 nucleotides in length.
Source: RNAcentral
GCCCAGAUGGCGGAAUCGGUAGACGCGCUGGUCUCAAACACCAGUGGGGCAACCCGUGCCGGUUCGACCCCGGCUCUGGGUACUA